Molecule: ribosomal RNA, 1240 nt
Filed under: metagenome
Description: bacterial LSU rRNA
Rfam family: Bacterial large subunit ribosomal RNA
Source: RNAcentral
UGAAUACGAGACGCUAAGGCGUCGAAGUAGUGUAUAUCAGACUUCCAAGAAAAGCUUGCACUGUCAUAGAUAAAAAAUGCCUGUACCAUAACCGACACAGGUGGGUAGGUAGAGUAUACUAAGGGGCGCGAGAUAACUCUCUCUAAGGAACUCGGCAAAAUAACUCCGUAACUUCGGGAGAAGGAGUGCCUUAUUUAUAAGGUUGCAAUAACAAGAUCCAAGCAACUGUUUAUCAAAAACACAGGUCUCCGCUAAGUCGUAAGACGAUGUAUGGGGGCUGACGCCUGCCCAGUGCCAGAAGGUUAAAGAAGUUGGUUAGCAAUUGCGAAGCUGAUAACUGAAGCCCUGGUGAACGGCGGCCGUAACAAUAACGGUCCUAAGGUAGCGAAAUUCCUUGUCGGGUAAGUUCCGACCCGCACGAAAGGCGUAAUGAUUUGGAUACUGUCUCGGAGAGGGGCUCGGUGAAAUAGACUUGUCUGUGAAGAUGCAGACUACCUGCACCAGGACAGAAAGACCCUAUGAAGCUUUACUGUAACUUGAAAUUGAAAUUGGACUUUAUUCGCGCAGCAUAGGUGGGAGGCGUUGAUUAUAAUCUUGCGGGAUUAUUGGAGCCAUCAGUGAGAUACCACUCUUGUAAUGUUAGAUUUCUAACUUUGAAUCAUUAUCUGGUCAAAGAACAGUUUCAGGCGGGCAGUUUGACUGGGGCGGUCGCCUCCUAAAUGGUAACGGAGGCGUACAAAGGUUUCCUCUGAACGGUUAGAAAUCGUAUCUAGAGUGUAAAGGCAUAAGGAAGCUUGACUGUGAGACCUACAAGUCGAGCAGGGACGAAAGUCGGUCUUAGUGAUCUGACGGCACUGAGUGGAAAGGCCGUCACUCAACGGAUAAAAGUUACUCUAGGAUAACAGGCUGAUCUCCCCCAAGAGUUCACAUCGACGGGGAGGUUUGGCACCUUGAUGUCGGCUCAUCGCAUCCUGGGGCGGUAGUACGUCCCAAGGGUUGGGCUGUUCGCCCAUGAAAGCGGUACGCGAGCUGGGUUCAGAACGUCGUGAGACAGUUCGGUCCAUAUCCGGUGUAGGCGUUAGAAUAUUGAGAGGAGCCUUCUUUAGUACGAGAGGACCGAGAAGGACAUACCUCUGGUGUACCAGUUAUCGUGCCAACGGUAAACGCUGGGUAGCUAUGUAUGGAGUGGAUAACCGCUGAAAGCAUCUAAGUGGGAAGCCCACCUCAAGAUAAGUAUUCU